GACGAACGCUGGCGGCGUGCUUAACACAUGCAAGUCGAACGGUGAAGCGCCUUCCUUUUUGGUGGGUGUGGAUGAGUGGCGAACGGGUGAGUAACACGUGAGUAACCUGCCCCCUUCUUCUGGAUAACCGCAUGAAAGUGUGGCUAAUACGGGAUAUUCUGGGUCUGUCGCAUGAUGGGUCUGGGAAAGAUAUUGUUUCGGUGGGGGAUGGGCUCGCGGCCUAUCAGCUUGUUGGUGGGGUGAUGGCCUACCAAGGCGGUGACGGGUAGCCGGCCUGAGAGGGUGGACGGUCACACUGGGACUGAGACACGGCCCAGACUCCUACGGGAGGUAGCAGUGGGGAAUAUUGCACAAUGGGCGCAAGCCUGAUGCAGCGACGCCGCGUGAGGGAUGGAGGCCUUCGGGUUGUGAACCUCUUUCGCCAGUGAAGCAGGCCUGCCUCGUUUGUGGGUGGGUUGACGGUAGCUGGAUAAGAAGCGCCGGCUAACUACGU
This 493-nucleotide ribosomal RNA is filed under the name uncultured bacterium. RNAcentral describes it as "partial 16S ribosomal RNA". It matches the Rfam family "Bacterial small subunit ribosomal RNA", at positions 28 to 506 of the family's 1533-position model. The record is from RNAcentral.